AGAAAAGCUCCCAAAAUAAAAAUAGAGUCUCCAGUACAACAUUAAAAUGGUUAGCCCUACUUCUAUGCACAGAAUGAGCUGGUUUUCAUUUGCAAACCAUUAAGUUACUUAACAGGUGUAAAUUGAGCCUAUAUUACUUUCGUUUGAACAAAAAAGAAAUCCUGGUAUUUGAAACGUAUGGUGAGUUUGUACUAUUUAUACUGUGCUGAGACAUCCAUUCUUACUUCCCUUCCCAGAGCUAGGAACUGUCCAGUACUAUGUUCUGCUGUUUUGGGAGUGUUGUCAGAUAAAUUAAAAGCCAGGCCAAUACUAACUUCUCGUGAAAAACUUGUAGCCCUUGUUUAUUGAUUCUGUUGUAACAGCAUGUCACUACUCCUUUCCGGGCAAGUGAAGGAGGCAAAGGAACAACUAGGUCCUGGAGUCAAGAGGAAGGUUUUUCUAUGUGAGGCUCAGUGCUGAAAUGAACAUCUUGACUAUAAAGCCUUCUUCAGAGUUACCAAUGGACAGAAAAUCUGAGGGGAAAAUAGAUGUUGCAAGAAAACCUUUUCAUUGCGCUCAAAGCUUCAUUUAUUCCACUGGACGAUCUGCACAUACAUAAACAAGUAAUUCAAGAAAUUAAGCUGCUGUCUUUCCAGCUCACUGCAGGAACAACAUCCCUGGUAUAAUUCCAGGAAGGAAGCAGAACUCAAGGAGUCAGUACAGCAGGGUUUGUCUCAGAGUCAUGUUUUACUCCCUACAUGGUGCAUUUCAUUUUGGUAUGCAUUGAGCACACUCCCUGCCUACCCCUAGAAAUUUUGUUUCUAGACUCAGCAGUAGCCCAGGAGUUGCUAACACUGAUGUGAAAAGGGCAGGCUAGCUUUUCUGUCCCCACUCUCAAUGUUUCCUGGAUACAUCUGUUCAUCAUUUGUUGGGAAGGUCAGUAAUAUGCUUCCCUACAUGGCAUCUGGAGGGUGCUUGCCCUGCAGGAUGUCUCUUUCCUCUGAUCCUGCAAACCAAAGAUUUUGUGGGCAUUGCUGGUCAGAAACUGACUGUGGUUUACAGGAGAUCAGGAAAACUUUUUUAGACACCAAAGCCCCAGUAGCAUUUCAAAAACUACUUUAAAAGCUAUUUUUUCUACCAGUAAGUUCAGUAAGAGCCAAAUUAGGUCAACAAUAAAUGCUUUUGAAAGUCUCAUCCUUUGUGUAAAUACUUCAGGAACAGUCAGAAGCCUUCCAAGAAGAAAUACUCUUCCCUACUAGCGAAAUAAGUUUGUAUGCAGAGAUUACCAUUGGAAUACCACUUUAAUUAGGCAUUAUUCCUUCCUUAUGAUUUCUAGCCUUUUCAUGAGAUGGCUACUCAGGAAAGGAAUGACUUGCUUCUCAUUGUUCUCUAAGAGUGUGAUAAGACACUUCCUGAAAAAUCCUUCUGGUGGUGGUGUUGAUGGGCUAUUAACCACAGAGAGUGUGACAAGGGAGGAGAAGCAUUUCAGUUCAUUCUUCCCUGCCAGGGAAGAUACUGACAGGAGGUACUGGGAGUUGGGGGUGAUGAGCUGAUGAGAAGAAAUUCACAGAUUCUUGUAGUUAAUUCCUUUAGAAUAUUUUAGUCACUUUCAGAGCAAGCCAACUGUUGAGCAACUGCAAUUUUCUUAAAAUUUAUAAGAAACACAGUUUCAUUCCAUGAAACACUGAAUUACAGGUCAUAAAAACUCUGGUUUGAUUCUGAUUUUCGGGACACGUAUUACUGUUCACCAUACAUUCAAGCAGAAGCAGUGGAGUGAAUAGAAGUUGUGCAGGCAGUUUCAGCUAGAGCGUAAUGUGGUUCUUACCAACUGAAAUGUCAGUUAAAGAGCAGCAGCAAACUAGGAUUCAAAGCAUAUGGAAUUAUUUGUAUGGCUGCAAAGCAGGCAGCCAGUCAGCCACAAAUAUAAUUUUCACAAGUGCAUUUUCAGUUGUCAUGCUAUGAAAUAAAAACAUUGGAAUGCAGAUAUCACAUGAGGAGCACUCAGAUGAUACACUGCUGAACCAGAAACAGGAGGCAUGCACUAUGUAGAAGGUAAGCUGUAAUGUUCAGCUAUCACUGUUCCCCUGAUCUCAUCACAUUGAUCCACUGCUUAGCCGAAAACAAGAUGCACAGACAGGCCG
This is a long non-coding RNA of Cygnus olor (mute swan), 2120 nucleotides long. RefSeq lists it as uncharacterized. The transcript is spliced from 4 exons. The record is from RefSeq and is a predicted model, not a curated record. Lineage: Eukaryota; Metazoa; Chordata; Aves; Anseriformes; Anatidae.